AUUGAACGCUGGCGGCAUGCCUUACACAUGCAAGUCGAACGGCAGCACGGGAGCAAUCCUGGUGGCGAGUGGCGAACGGGUGAGUAAUAUAUCGGAACGUGCCCAGUCGUGGGGAUAACGUAGCGAAAGCUACGCUAAUACCGCAUACGAUCUAUGGAUGAAAGCGGGGGAUCGCAAGACCUCGCGCGAUUGGAGCGGCCGAUAUCAGAUUAGGUAGUUGGUGAGGUAAAGGCUCACCAAGCCGACGAUCUGUAGCUGGUCUGAGAGGACGACCAGCCACACUGGGACUGAGACACGGCCCAGACUCCUACGGGAGGCAGCAGUGGGGGAAUUUUUGGGACAAUGGGCGCAAGCCUGAUCCAGCAAUGCCGCGUGCAGGAUGAAGGCCUUCGGUU
This 395-nucleotide ribosomal RNA is filed under the name uncultured bacterium. RNAcentral's name for it is "bacterial SSU rRNA". It matches the Rfam family "Bacterial small subunit ribosomal RNA", at positions 30 to 423 of the family's 1533-position model. The record is from RNAcentral.